RNAcentral lists this unclassified non-coding RNA (200 nucleotides) under soil metagenome. RNAcentral's name for it is "partial contains internal transcribed spacer 2 and large subunit ribosomal RNA". The record is from RNAcentral.
GUUCGAGCGUCAUUACAACCCUCAAGCUCUGCUUGGUAUUGGGCUUCACCUCACAGUGGGCCUCAAAAUCAGUGGCAGUGCCAUCUGGCUUCAAGCAUAGUAAUUUUUCUUGCUUCCGGAGUCCAGCUGGUCACCCGCCAUCAAACCCCAAUUUUUAUCAGGUUGACCUCGGAUCAGGUAGGGAUACCCGCUGAACUUAA